Molecule: ribosomal RNA, 428 nt
Filed under: uncultured bacterium
Lineage: Bacteria
Description: partial 16S ribosomal RNA
Rfam family: Bacterial small subunit ribosomal RNA
Source: RNAcentral
GUAGGGAAUAUUGGACAAUGGGGGCAACCCUGAUCCAGCGACGCCGCGUGAGUGAUGAAGACCUUCGGGUCGUAAAGCUCUGUUGCAGGGGAAGAACACAAUGACGGUACCCUGCUAGAAAGGAUCGGCUAACUUCGUGCCAGCAGCCGCGGUAAGACGAGGGAUCCUAGCGUUGUUCGGAAUUAUUGGGCGUAAAGCGGGUGCAGGUGGCUUGGUAAGUCAGAUGUGAAAGCCCAGGGCUCAACCCUGGAAGUGCAUUUGAUACUACUGAGCUUGAGUGUCGGAGAGGUUACCGGAAUACCUGGUGUAGUGGUGAAAUACGUAGAUAUCAGGUGGAACACCGGAGGCGAAGGCGGGUAACUGGACGAACACUGACACUGAGGCCCGAAAGCGUGGGGAUCAAACAGGAUUAGAAACCCUGGUAGUCC